GUCUGUGGCCAUACCACCCGGAAUGCACUCAAUCUUGUCUGAUCUUGGAAGAUAAGCAGGGUCAGCAUGGUUAGUACUCGGAUGGGAGAUCAUGUAGGAAUACCAGAGGCUGUAGGCU
RNAcentral lists this ribosomal RNA (118 nucleotides) under Carlito syrichta (Philippine tarsier). The record is from RNAcentral. Lineage: Eukaryota; Metazoa; Chordata; Mammalia; Primates; Tarsiidae.